CUUUUUGCCUUUUCUUGAGCCGCUCCCGUGGCAUAUGGAGGUUCCCAGGCUAGGGGUCGAAUCGGAGCUGUAGCUGCCGGCCUAUGCCACAGCCACAGCAACGGCAGAUCCGAGCCGCGUCUGCGACCUACACCACAGCUCAUGGCAACGCUGGAUCCUUAACCUGCUGAUUGAGGCCAUGGAUGGAAUCCGCAACCUCAUGGUUCCUAGUUGGAUUCGUUUCUGCUGCGCCAAGACAGGAACUCCAGAAAAUAAUUUCUUGAUGAAAACUGAUCAAUGUUAGUAUAAUUCAGAUUAAAAAUCUGUAUUUACAUGAGUUGCCAUGUCCUCCAGGUCAAAAUGGUGAGGCCAAAAUACACUGAACUCGUUUUGAGAUUUCUGUGGGCUUGAAGGGACAGAAAGGAAGCGAGUCUCCUCUAAAUUUCGUCCUCAGAGUUCCUUUCUUGUCCCUGGCAUCCCGCCUCUGGUCCUCACCUCUGUAUCCACAGUCACCUGUCCUGACAACUGCACCUGUCCACCCCCGCUCUGAGGUUCACCCUCACACGUCCUCCUUUGGAACAAGGGCAACCUUCCAACCUGCCUCCUUGCUUCCAGUCUUGUCUUCAUUGUCUCCAAGCCAUCCCUCCUCUACCCUGUGGUCCGGGCAAUCUUUCUAACCCUUUGUUUUAAAGGUCUCCAGUGAGAGUUCCCUGGUGGUCUAGUGCUUGGGAUUUAGCACGUUCGCUGCUAUGGCUCAGGUUCAAUCCCUGGUCUGAGAACCGAGAUCCCACAUCAAGUACCGCACGCUGCUGAGGCCAAAAAAAAAAAGCUUUUCAAAGGGUUCAUUCUGCCUGGCUCCCCUGCCCCCAUAGUUACGGGAAUAAGUAAGUUCCUGGCCCUCCUUUUUCAUGCCCCAUCACGAGUGCAUGGGCCAUACCAGCCAUGCAGGUAUUAGCUUCCCAUCUUCCUUCACUCCAGGCUGUUGAGUCCCUAUCUUACUAAGUUCUUGCCUUGCCUGAGUCCAGCCUUUUCAGUACCUCUUUGGUGACUUCUUCAUUUCCAGAAAGACUCCUGCUUCCUCUGGCUUAUUCCUUCAGUUUCUCUCUAGAUCUAGCAGGAUGAGGUCAAUGUGUCUUAGAGGGUGAGGAAGGGGUGGUCCACCCCUGUUAUUCCUCGUCAGAGCAGACCUAGGAGACUCCGUCAAGAAAGGACCGCCAGUUUCUCAAAGUUAAACACAGAACUGCCAUAUAAUCCAGCAACUCUAGCCCUAGGUAUACAUCUAGAAGAACUGAAAAUAAGUACUCAAACAACCGCUUGUGCAUGAAUGUUCACAGCAGCGUUAUUCACAGUAGCCAAAAGGCGGAAACAACCCAAGUAUCCAUCACUGGAUGAAGGAUAAACAAAAUAUGGUACAUCCAUACUACACAUUAUUACUUGAGCAUAAAAAUAAAUGAAGCACUGCUACAUGCUACAAUAUGGAUGACGCUUAUAAACACUCUGCCUAGUGAAAAGAGCCAGGCAGGAAGGGUCAUACAUUAUAUGAUUCCAUUUCUAUGAAAUAGCCAACAUAGAGAAAUUCAGAGACUCAGAAAGCAGAUUGGUGGCUGCAAGGGACUAGGAAGGGAGGGGAGAAUAGGGAGUGACUGCUUCAUGGAUACGGGAUUUUUUUGGAGGGUGAUGAAAAUAUUCUGGACCUACAGGGUGGUGAUGGUUGCACAAUAUUAUGAAUUACCAAAUGCCACCGUGUGGUAUACUUUAAAAUGGUUAAUUGCAUGUUACGUGAAUUUCACCUUAAUAAAAAAAAAAUACAGAAAGAAAAGAUCUCCUUGGGGACGGAGCCAGAGGGUGUGCCAAGAAUAGAGGAUGGUGGGAAAUUCAAUUUUAUACCCUUGUGUCUUUAAAUUAAAGGGGGUGGGGUUAAGAAAAGGGCUCCUCAGUGAGUAUUGCUCCCCCGGACACAUGUCCCAAAGACUAGCCCUGAGCAGGGGUGGGAGGGGUGGACAGAUGGAGGGGUACAUAGGGCUCGAAAGAGGCGAAGAGGGGCCAGCCCUCCCUCCCUGCUGCUGGUUGGCUCACCCAAGGACAGAGGUUUAGACUCAGAGGGCUGGAAAGGGGGCAGGCAGAGGAGGGUGGUCUGAACAGCCACUGCGGAGGGAACCCUUGUUUUCCUACACCUCAUCACGUUUGCUAAGAAAGCAAGACAUUUUAUGUCUAGAAGCACCUGCAAGGUAAGACUCAUAUGUAAGUGGAUCCUGUGAAAUAGACUUUUAUGCAGAGAGCAGAGAUCGGAUCACAAAGCCAUAAGGAGAAAUCUCUUUACCCGAAUUACACAGACCCACUCGUCUGGUUUCCAUUUCAUUGCCUGAGUCUGUUUUAUAGUUGUGCUUUUUCAUGAAAGCUUUUAAGGGAGGCUAUUCCCUGAUGUCAUGCAAAAAAAAUGUCUGAAUACAAUUACAUUACGGAGCAGCACUCUUGGAAGAGAACACAGACACGAAGCUCGCUGGUGUCCUGUUUCCUUCCCCUUAAAAGCUAUUUGUCUGUUCUCUAAAAACAGAAGCCCCCAAACCCGAAUCCCAGGACCCUCUAUCUGUCACAAUGCCCAGCAGCACUGAUUUGGGAAAUGCACGCAGAACUGGGGACCCCCGGGGAGGUGGGAAGGCUGUCAGGGAGCCGUGUUCAGCUCUGGUGACCAGCACACAGUCCUGAGCCACCUUGUCUCAGGUCACACAUUUUACAAUCAAGGGGAGGGAACAGAGCCCCCUGCUAUGGGCUCUCUCAGGAAUCGCCUAUAAAACCUCCUCUCAUUUCCUCCCUAUCCUCAUGCUUUAUUCAGACGCGCCCCAAGGCUCGGGGAAUGGGUUUCCUUAAAAGCUACUAGGAAAAGUGCUCUUAAUCCAAAUCUGCUCUACUGUGAGCACACUCUCCAUGUUUUUCAUCCUUUCCCUAGCUUUCUGGUCCUGGCAGAAGCUGCCAUACUCCUCCCUUUCCAGUAGAGGCUGUUCCUUCUUUGCUUCAUCUCUGACUCAGGCCGAUCAGCAAACGCCUUCUACCUCUACACGAUCCCCUCGCCUUCCCACUCAACCAUCUCUUUGAAGUCCCUACUAUGAAAAUUCAGAGACUCUGAAAGCAGAUUGGUGGCUGCAAGGGACUGGAAAGGGAGGGGAGACUAGGGAGUGGCUGCUUCAUGGAUACGGGAUUUUUUUGGAGGGUGAUGAAAAUAUUCUGGACCUACAGGGUGGUGCCUCCUAACUGAACCGCUGUAUAAACUGUCCCAACCUUCUCCCUGUCCCUAUAUCUUUACUCCCUUAACCACUCAUUCUUCCAGAUAAUCUUGUUUUCUACAAAAGACAUUCAGCAUAAGCUCAAACUUCUGUCCUCCCCCACUUGAAAACGUCUCUAAUGAUUCUUUUGAAACAUUAGCUUGAAAGCAGAGCAGGGUCUGGGAAACGCAGUGUUAGGACAGGAGAGAGAGCCUGGAGAGGGAGGAGGAGAGCCUGCAGACAUAUGGGAGAAAAGGGCGCCGUGGCUGGAGGAAGGUCCUGGGGAUGGAAUGAGCUGCUGCACAAAGGAUUCAUGGACAUGAAGGAGCAUUUUUUUGCUGAGUUUGAAGGGGGCCGGAUAAGAAGAUUGAUGACUGUUACAGAGUGGCCUCCUCCUUACUUUUAAACUCCUUGAAGCUGGCUUCUGACCUUCCCACUACUGGACCUUCUCUCUCAACUCUCACUUAGGACAUUUCCUCCAUCCUUAUUCUCUUUGACCAGAUCUUUUGAUGGUGAGCGGCAUGGCUGACCAACUCUGUCCUUGCUCAUUUUUCCUUAGGUGAGUUCAUGACAAUGGAACCUCUUGGUCUUCUUGAUGGGGCUUGGUUACUUCCUUGGCUAGCUCCUCUCCCAAACUAUUACCAGAGUCUUCUACAAAUGCUCCCUUACCUUUAAUUUCUCUCUCUCCCCACCCCUAAUCCAUCCAUUUAUCUCCCUCUUUCAAUAUAUAGUUACUGAUCCCCUACCAUGUGCCAAGCACAUGGCAGCUAUUAAACUGUAGCUGAAUUAAUCUUAAUGUAUAGCUCUGAUCAUGUUACUUAUUUGUUCAAAAGUUUUUACUGGUUUUCUGGUGCAAAUGAUAUCCAGAUUCACUGCCGUGGCUCUCCCAGUUUCCGUGGACAUCUGCUGUUUUUGUGGGCUUAGCUUCCAUUUGCCUUCUCUGGAUGGCUGUGCCCCAGUCUUCUCCUGGAGAAUCAGCCCUUCCACAAUUUUGGCCCAUGUGGUUUGGGUGUGGUUAUCCUGCCCCCCGCCCCAAGCAUGAGCACCUACCCCAGGUCUAAGCCACUCAGGGCAUCAUCAUCAUCCUUGCCUCAGAGAUUAGUUCCGGGAUGGGCCUGGAACCCAACUACAGUCAUUAAAAAAAGCCUUUAAAAGAGAUUUGAGUGACACAGGCCUCGAAUAAACCAAGAUGCAAAGGCUAGAGCAGCUGCUGCAUCUUAGAACUUCCAGGGGAGUGAGAGCUUAUCUGAAAACAGAACCAACCUAAGGACAGAGGAAGAACAUGGCAAGAAACCAGGUCCUUGGGACACUGUCUGAGCCCUUGCAUCAUGCCACAUCUGAAGCCAGCCCUGACCCCAGAACUCUCAGUCAUGGGAGCCAAUAUGCUCCCUCCACCCAGUGCUGGAGCAGGUUGGAUCAGAGAAAGAGUCUUGCUUGAUCCAAAGCUCCUCUGCUGCAUCCCAGCUUCCUUUCACCUCAUCCUCUGUGCGUAUGAAGACUUGCCUACUAAUUUAUUCCUUUCCUGCACAUGCCUCACACCUGGCCAACCCUGUCUUUCUGGAAUGCUCCCCAUCGUUGCCGUCUUCUCUCACUCAAAUUAUAUCUAACCUUUAAGCUUCAGUUCUAAUGAGCUGUCCUCCAAGAAGCCAUUCGUCUCCCAUUUCCCCCAAUAACAAAUGUUUGUUGAAUAAAUGAUGAACUGAACAAACAAUGACACAGAGAAACAGGGUCCAAGGAGCGGGUUCACCAAAUUGUUGUACAGCCCUGGGUUCCAGCAACCCUCUUCAUCACCCAUCUUCUCACUAAAUCCCUGCUUCCUAUCCUCUUUGGCCAUCAUUUCCCAAAAAGUUUCCCUUGAGAUGCUGGGAAUGUUGACAGAUACUUUUUUGGGUACAUAACAUAUAUGCUUUAUGCAUAUAAGUGAUAACAUACUCUAAGAUUCUCUUCCCUUACAAGUUGUUACAAAAUAUUAAGUAGAGGUCCCUCUGCUAUACAGUAGGUGCUAGUGGAUUAUCUAUUUUAACGAUUUUUAUUUUUUUCCAUUAUAGCUGGUCAAUGUUCGUAGAUACUUAAAACAGAAAACUCUAAACUCCAAAAACCAACCAAAGUGGGGGGGGGAAUCUAUUAAAUAAGUCUGGAAAAUGCUGGAUUAAACAAAUGCUUUUGUUUUUAAUGCACGAAGGUGGGGAUGGAGGCAGGCUACACUCUCCAAUUUACUCAUAAAACAGGUACCAGUACAGAGGGAAGUGCCACAUUCUUCCCUGCAGACACGCUUUGGUUUAAGGUAGUGCGGGUUAUUUUAUAUACAAAUAUAAAUAUCCUACCCUUUGUUCAAGGUGCCUAUUUGCUCUGCACAGCGACUAUUCUGAACACAGAAAACUGUUCAUUGUUAAACAUGGCAU
RNAcentral lists this transfer RNA (5641 nucleotides) under Sus scrofa (pig). RNAcentral describes it as "lncRNA (ENSSSCG00000057784.1)". The record is from RNAcentral. Lineage: Eukaryota; Metazoa; Chordata; Mammalia; Artiodactyla; Suidae.